AUGGAGCCUGUGGUGCGCCUCAGGCGCCAGUGCCUGGCCCCGGCCAGGGGUUCUCAGGCGCCCGCCAAGGAGUCCACGCAGGAGGCCUCCGGGGCCAAGGCCGGCAUGAACCGGGUAUUCCUGCAGCGGCUUCUGUGGCUCCUGCGGCUGUCCCCCUGGUCUCAGGCCGAGACGGGGCUGCUGGCCCUGCACUCGGCCGCCCUGGUGAGCCGCACCUUCCUGUCGGUGUAUGUGGCCCGCCUGGGACGGAAGGCUGGUCUCACGACGGGCGGGCGAGUGACCUGCUGGCUCUUUGGGCUGGCAGCUGCUACAAUGGCUCUCAUCGCCCUCCCUGCUACCUUACAACAGUGCCACCAUACCUGGAGUGGGCCAGUUGGCCCUGUCGCUCCGCAGAGCCGUCUGCGCCCAUGCCUACCGCCUCUACUUCUCCCAGCAUUCUACCAUCAAGUCAGCUAACACGGGACGGCGGCUUCGUAACCUCUGGACCAGCCCCUGAGCCAGAGGACGGGUGGCCUUGGGCGCCCUGUGGCCCACCUCUACUCCAACCCACCCGCCACUCCUGGACGGGCCGACUCCUACACCCUGCUUCCAGGUGGCCCGCCUCCUGUGGGGCCGGUGAGGCCUGGCCUCACACGCUGGCCUCGUGGUGUUCCUCACGGCAACGCGCGGCCUUCUCACCAAGUUUGGGGAGCUGGUGGCAGAGGAGGCGCGCGGAAGGGGAGCUGUUACACACUUUGUGGUGGCAACUCUGGAGGAGAUCGCUUUCUUGGGGCCAGACGAGGUGGAGCUGGCGCUGCUACAGCACUCCUACCAGGACCUGGCCUCGCAGAUCAACCUCAUCCUUCUGGAACGCUCUGUAUGUCAUGCUGGAGCAGUUCCUCAUGGCUGGUGUGUGGAGCCACCCAGGCCUGCUCAUGGUGGCUGUCCUCAUCACCACAACUGGUUAUCAGAGUCAGCUGCAGAGGCCGUGGAAGGCUGCAGCCUUGGAAAAGAAGGAGGAGGAGCUGGUGAGUGAGCGCACAGAAGCCUUCACUAUUGCCCCAACCUCCUGACAGCGGCUGCAGAUGCCAUUGAGCUGGGACUGGGCGUCGUCAGCAUGCUGGAGGUGGAUGAGCUUAAGGCUUAGCAUACCCAGGUGCACCAGAUGUUCAGGUGUUUAGUGAGAUGUCUGAAAUGUCACCAAGAGCCCAUGAGCUGAGACCAUGGGCCUGGGACCAUGAAAUGAUCUGGUGUCCACAGAGGCCUCUGAAGACCCAGGCCAGGCAGAUGCAUGGUGGACACUGAGAACAUCCCCAUCAUCACGCCCUCAGGAGAGGUGGUGGUGGCCAGCCUCAACAUCAGGGUGGAGGAAGGCAUGCAUCUGCUCAUCACGGGCCCCAACGGCUGCGGCAAGAGCUCCCUGUUCCGGAUCCUGGGUGGGCUCUGGCCCACGUACGGCGGUGUGCUCUACAAGCCCCCACCCCAGCGCAUGUUCUACAUCCCGCAGAGGCCCUAUAUGUCUGUGGGCUCCCUGCGUGACCAGGUGAUCUACCCGGACUCAGUGGAGGACAUGCGAAGGAAGGGCUACUCAGAGCAGGACCUGGAAGCCAUCCUGGACAUCGUGCAUCUGCACCACAUCCUGCAGCGAGAGGGAGGUUGGGAGGCUAUGUGUGACUGGAAGGACGUCCUGUCGGGUGGCGAGAAGCAAAGAAUCGGCAUGGCCCGCAUGUUCUACCACAGGCCCAAGUACGCCCUCCUGGAUGAAUGCACCAGUGCCGUGAGCAUCGAUGUGGAAGGCAAGAUCUUCCAGGCAGCCAAGGACGCGGGCAUCGCCCUGCUCUCCAUCACCCACCGGCCCUCCCUGUGGAAGUACCACACACACUUGCUACAGUUCGACGGGGAGGGUGGCUGGAAGUUCGAGAAGCUGGACUCGGCUGCUCGCCUGAGCCUGACAGAGGAGAAGCAGCGGCUGGAGCAGCAGCUGGCAGGCAUUCCCAAGAUGUAGCGGCGCCUCCAAGAGCUCUGCCAGAUCCUGGGCGAGGCCAUGGCCCCAGCACAGGUGCCGGCACCUAGCCCACAAGACCCUGGUGGCCUCCAGGGUGCCUCCACCUGACUCGGCCCUCCCCGGCCCCUGCCCCGCCCCCAAGCUCAGAUCGUAUGAAGGAGACAGCAGCACACACCUGUGCAUGCACCCUGCCCCUGCAUGCCUGGCCCCUCCUAGAAGACCCUUCCCGCCCUUGGGAAAGUAGAUGUGGAGGGUGACGCCCUGCAUAACCCCCACCCUGUCCCUCCCACUCCCUGGGGGGCUGUUCCACAGUGACUGGGCCCUGUCCAGGGCAGUGAGUCUUCUACUUUGCUCCGCGGAGGAAGCUGGGGCACGGGGGCCCAGUGCUGGCCACAGCAGCACAGCCGAGCCCCAGGAGCCACUCAGGCCACAGCCCCUGGUGCUGCAGGUGGCCUCCCUCCGGAGACUCGAGUCCCCAUGAUUCCCUCCUCGUCAGUCUCUCAAAGACCCCAUGAUCCCAUCCCCUGAGGGUGGCCAGCCAAGGCUUCUGUCCCAUGGGAUGCCAUAAAAGCCGCCCAGUGGGACCCAUGGUCACACAGAGCCCCUCACCUGCAUCCUCUCCCCCACAAGAGCCCUGAAGAGCCCACGGGAGGGGGACGCACAGCACUGCCUGCCGAGCGAGAAUGUAGCCGCAGCCCCCUCAGCCUCUCACCUCUUCUUUCUACAGCCUAAUUUAUUGGAUUCCCUAUUCGUAGCCAUCUCCAUGGCCAAUGUGACUACCCUGCCAGCAGCGGGGGUGGCCCAGCCUCUGAGUCCCAUGGGGCCCUGGCUCCCACCGGUGCCAAACGCAGCCCCUGUGGCCGUCACCCCGCCAGCCUACACUUCCAGCCGCCACCGGAGCACACGGGCCUCUGCUUGCCAGCCAGGAGUGCGGACACCAUGUUCCCAGCUCAGUGCCAAAGAGGGGUCACCAGGGGGAGCUGUCUAUAGAGCCAGCACCUGCCCGAGAGACCCCACCGCCACCGUGUGCCUUUCCCAGGCCCUCAGCCCUCGGGCCGGGCGCCACCCCCAGUCCCCUCAGUAAAAGCCUCCAUUGGCAAAAAAAAAAAAAAAAAAAAAA
Non-coding RNA from Chlorocebus sabaeus (green monkey), 3104 nucleotides. Lineage: Eukaryota; Metazoa; Chordata; Mammalia; Primates; Cercopithecidae. The record is from RefSeq and is a predicted model, not a curated record.